GAUGGCUUAGGCUGCUGUGGCAGGCAGGUGGUGGUGGGGACAGCCGUGGCGCUAGCGGGAGGUGAUCAGAUUCAGGAUAUAUUUUGGAGCUGAAACAGUGAGGAGGUUUGGAGAUUUAUUGACUCAUUAACUUAAUUCUGACAUUUGAAGGCAAAGUCUGGACAUUUGAAGACAAGACAAUUAAGAUAUUUCAUCUUCCAAAAAGUGCACACACUAGUCCUCUUCUCAUUUAUCUUCUGACAUCACUGGCUCACUAGUGUCUAGAGAUCCAGGCACUUCUUGGCUGUGACAGUUUCUCAGACUGACAAUUUUGUGGAGUGCUGCUCCAGCAUGCUCACUCUGCACCUGGUUGCAACCCCAAUGUAGCCCUGCAUGGCAUGCAGUGUUUUCCUCCCAAGGCU
Molecule: long non-coding RNA, 401 nt
Organism: Choloepus didactylus (southern two-toed sloth)
Lineage: Eukaryota; Metazoa; Chordata; Mammalia; Pilosa; Megalonychidae
Exons: 4
Source: RefSeq, a predicted model, not a curated record